AAUAUUCUAGUACCACCAUUAUUUUCGAUGGGGUGACGGAGUAGUGAAAGUACCGCGUACUGACGGAAUAGUACGUUGAAGCGUGUAGGUAUAAGGACUGUAGGCAAAUCCGCAGACCUUGCUGAACGUGAUAGUACCACAAAUCUUCGGAUGCGUGGAUAGUGUACCUAAUCAGACUUCCGAGAAAAACCUCUAAGGUUAGGAUAAUGGUGCCCGUACCGUAAACCGACACAGGUAGUCAAGGAGAGAAUCCUGAGGUGCUCGAGUGAUUCAUGGUUAAGGAACUAGGCAAAAUAGCCCUGUAACUUCGGGAGAAGGG
Molecule: ribosomal RNA, 319 nt
Filed under: Chattonella subsalsa
Lineage: Eukaryota; Raphidophyceae; Chattonellales; Chattonellaceae
Description: partial Bacterial large subunit ribosomal RNA
Rfam family: Bacterial large subunit ribosomal RNA
Source: RNAcentral